This 1574-nucleotide long non-coding RNA is filed under the name Homo sapiens (human). Its description in RNAcentral is "HSALNT0172902". The record is from RNAcentral. Lineage: Eukaryota; Metazoa; Chordata; Mammalia; Primates; Hominidae.
GGGUGGCUAUUGGAUAGUAUGAUUUCUUAUCCUUCUAGCAGGUUAGCCCAGGCUCAGUGGUGGAGGCAAGGAUCUGAGAGAAAGGAAAUAUGUAAAGCCUGUUGAGGCCAGGAUUAGAAUGGUUCACUGUGACUUCUAUCACUUUGUACUGGCUAAACGAGUCACAAGGCCAGCCAAGAUUCAAGAGGUACAAAAAUAGACUCCAUGUCUUGAUGGAAGAAUCUGAAAAGUCACUUUACAAAUAAUAUAGAUACAGGAAGGUCACCAACUGGGGCUAUCAAUUUAAGCAAUCUACUAGUCUGGUACAUAAUUAUUGUCCCAGGAUGUCCUUCCACCCUCACCCUUUGAGUUCUUGUUUUCAUCUUGUAUUGGAUCUCCUGUAUAUCAGUCAGGCUUCAGAAAUGAUGCCAGUUAUUUUAACAGACCAGAGGGUGAGAGGUGGCUUAGCUGGUGCUGGUAUCUCUGAGGGGCAUAGGAGGCUGAUCUUGAAAGUGUUGGGAAAACUGUCAACUGGAUUAACAGUUGCUACAAGAAGGAACUUUUGCUGCCAGGGGGAAGAAGUGUUGCCAGUGUGAUGCUCUCAGGAACUGCAAGAGAACAGCAAGCAAACAGAAUUCCUGUUAGCCAGUUGUGGAAUCAUGAACCCUGAGCCCACCAAGUGAAGAAUCAAUGGCUAGACUCCUGGAAGGUGAGAGAACACAUGGAGAGAAGCCAAACCAUCCCAGCAGAACCCAGACCUGUCAUACCAGCUACCAGCUGACUGCAAAUGAAUGAACUCAUUUAAUACCAACAGUAGACCCACCUACCUGAGCCUAGCCCAAAUGACUGACUCACACCAUUAUGAGCAAGUAAAAUGAUUUUUAUUUUAAGCCAUUAGGCUUUGGGGUGGUUGGUUAUGCAGCAGGUGAUAACCAAUACGAGGUAUAUUGGUUGCAUUUACAAAUCGCAGAGAUCAAGGCUAUGCUGUUUUAAUCUAUGUGUCUUUGUUGACUUAGACUUGUUUUUUUUUCUUAUUUUUUUAUUUUUUUCUUAUUUUACUUUAAGUUCUGGGAUACAUGUGCGGAACAUGCAGGUUUGUUACAUAGGUAUACAUGUGCCAUGGUGGUUUGCUGCACCUAUCAACCCGUCUAGACUUGUUUUUUAAAUCUCUUUGUCAUUUUAGUGUGGUUUUGGGAAGGAGUAAAAGUAAAUAUACAUUCAUCACAUUUAACUGGAAUGUGGAACUCCAUUCACUUCCUCUUCAUCUGUCCAACAGAUAUUUUCUGAUUACCUAGUAGAUAUCAACAGCACUGGAUACUUGUAACACAGCUCUCAUUUAAUCUUUACAGCAGUGCUAUGCAUUAGGCAUUAGAUUCCCCUUUUAACAGAUGAGACAAAUAAGACUCAGUGAGGUUAAGAGACUUGCUAGAGGUCUUGCAAUUAGUAAAUAGCAUUGUUAGAAUUUGUGUCCUUGACUGAGUGUCAACAAAGUACCCAAUAUUUUCAAUAUACUUUGUUAAACUAGAAAAUAGACAGUAGAGAUUCUAAAGUUGGAAUGGAUAUAAGACCGAUCACAUAGUAGACAAGCUGACAGC